Regulatory RNA element from Streptomyces sp. SirexAA-E, 59 nucleotides. It matches the Rfam family "msiK RNA". The record is from Rfam. NCBI's taxonomy places the organism in Bacteria, Bacillati, Actinomycetota, Actinomycetes, Kitasatosporales, Streptomycetaceae.
CCACACCACUCCCUUACUCGGAUCGUCCGGCACGUUCCUGCCGGUGGAGGAGAAGAUCA